This is a long non-coding RNA of Octodon degus (degu), 480 nucleotides long. RefSeq lists it as uncharacterized. The transcript is spliced from 4 exons. NCBI's taxonomy places the organism in Eukaryota, Metazoa, Chordata, Mammalia, Rodentia, Octodontidae. The record is from RefSeq and is a predicted model, not a curated record.
CUGCUCCAUUUUCUGUCGCCAUGAGGUAGGAGGCGUGCGCUUCUGUUUGUCUAACUCAAGUCUUUCUGGCUGCACAAAGAGAGGAGAAGACAGCGAGAACCCAGCACUGCCAUGCAUGGGAAGUCCACAGCUGCCCAGAGGCUGGAGGGGCUCAGAAGAAGCAACCUCCUACGCAGAUGGGACCGGGACCAGCAACUGCCCCAGGAGGUACAUACAGCAUUUAGAGCAGUAUGGGAGUGAACUGUGCAAAUGUCAGCCAUUCCAUCGCCCUUUUGCAGACGCAUCACAACUCCUGGUAAAUGGGACAAAGUACUUCUUUCUUUCAAAUCUAAUCCAAAGGCUUGAAGACAACAAAUCUGCCCUGAAAGUCUACUAGAAAAUGUAGAGUUGCAAGACUUUAAAAUAAUGGAACUACCGGGCCAGCCAAAUAGCUCAGCAGAUUAAAGCGCCUGCAAGCAGGCACAGGGGCUGGGUUCAAUC